CUCUCCUCCUUCUCCAUUCUUCGAGAGAUGCCCCUAGUCCAAAUCUUUUUCUUCUUCUGCUUAUCGCCGACUCCCUCAUCCGAUGGUCAUCUCUCCCUUACGCUCACCAUCUCUCUCUUCUGUCAUUUAGCACUCUACGAUCGAUAGGAGUCCUAUUGUCGCACACCCUAUCAACCCUUAUGCUUAAACGUGCCCUCUCUCUUGGAAUUUUCUGAACGCGAGCGAUCUCUCUCUUGCGCACAGGCUAGUUCCUACCUUCCUUGAGCACACCAAUAGCGAUGCAACUCACCAAUACUGACGACCCUCCUCAAUGCUCCACCCCGCAAAUGUUGCCAUUGCCCGCCCUAUCUUCACCGCUACUCAGCCAGUUGUUGAACACGGGCUUUGUCGCACCGUUGCAGUUUGCAAGCGUGCAACUACAUUUGAUUUGAGUUUCAUCUUUUCAUCAUUAUACCGUUCAAGACUCUCGUUUCCACCUCUUGGAGUUUUGAUUUGGAGUAUUGACAGAUUUUAACUGAUGUCCAGCCGCGACGUGACUCGAAAUUGGGUGUUCGCAAAAAUUUGGGAUUCAAAAGUGGAUGGUUGUUAGAGGUUUGUCUGUUGGGCUAGGCUACUUUGCUAAGUUCUUGAUUUAGAGAACUUGGAAGCAUUGAUCAACACAGGUAAGGUUGUUUUAAAAUGAGUUUGGGUAUGUUCCUAAGUUAUUUACUCGUUAGUUUGAUAUUGAGAUUGUUAAUGGAUCUAAAUCUCCAAGGUAUGGAUAUUGGGUGUAAAAGCGUAUUGAAACGAAAGACCCAAUGAGUUUGACUUAAGUUUGCAAAUUCAUUUUACUAAGGAUUUAAAUUUAAGUUUUAAAGGUUGGAAUGUGGAUUUUUAGUCUAGUCUAAGAAGAUUCGAGAAUGCAAGGAAUUUAGAAAUGUAAAAUAACAUGAAUGCUCCAAAUGAAGUGUUUUGGAGAUUGUUGUGUCAUCUUGCUAAGUGAAGAAAACUGAGAGAUCUUAAUCUUUGUUUCAGGCCAAAUUGAAAUGGGGAAAGCAUAUAAUCUCGAGGGAUCGAGUCAUUGAUAGUGAAUGGUUUAUUUUCAAAUAUUUUCGUUAUAAAUUUAUAAAUGUUAUUAUAGUACGCUAUAAAUGUGACGAUUACUCGUAUGAUUGUUUUAUGAUCUGUGUUAGAAAUGUUUUCAAAUAUGAUUUUCAAUUUUCCAUGAACUCUUGUAUUUCGAAUUCAUGGUUGAAUCCAAACUUACCAAGCAAGUUUUAGAUGACAAUUGGUUUCUAAAACAUUUGUUGAUUUAUAAUUAGACUUGAAGGAGUUCUAAAAGUAUGUAUUGAUGACUAAGGAUAAAAAAUAAUUUGAAAAUGUGUUUCUAACCGUGUUUGGUUUUAAACUUUAAAUAUGUGAUAUUUAUGAAAUAAUGUUGGUGAUUUCCCUAAAGGCUACAUGAGUGUGUUUUCGUAGCACCAUCUAUGAUGGUUAGGGGAUUCCGGGGCUGAAAGAGGUCGUGACUAGAGAUCGAGAACCAGAGCCUAGGUAGGGAUAUGGAUGGAGGAUUGUGGUAUGGCUUCAGGUCUAGCUCAACCCAUGGUGGGUGGCUCUAUGUGCACAUAUAAGCGGAUAUGGAGGUUGUUACUGUGGUAGGUGCUAAGUAUGCGUGAGUUCCAUUUGGCCGCAUGUUUUCUUGUGGAUAUGGAUCACGGGUGAGUUGUUUUGGGUCGUGUAUUUAGUAUGCUAUCAUGGUUGGAUUGGAUGGAGAUUGUUACCGUGGUAGGUUCCAAGUAUGCGUGAGCUUUAUUUGGCCGCGUUUUUCUUUGUGGAUAUGGAUCAUGUGUGAGCUAUUCUGAGCCGUGUAUUUAGUAUGCUAUCAUUGUUGGAUUGGAUGGAGGUUGUUAUCGUGGCGAGUACUAAAUAUGCGUGAGCUAGGUUUGGUUGCAUGAUUCCUUGAUCAUGUGCGAGUUAUUCUUGGCCAUAUAUUUAGGUGCUUUGCCAUGGUUAGAUUGGGUACAUGUUUGUUGGCUUGACUUGUGAUGUAUGCUAUUAUGUGAUGAUAACGUUUUAAUUAUUAUUUCAUUAUCGAGGCAUAGCUACACUUUUUUUAAAACAUGUUUUACGAGUUUUUACUUCUAAAAACUUGCUACUCACAUAGUUCUAGCUCACGUUUUCAAUGUUUUCUCCCCCCAGGCAGCGUUUCAAAAACCAAGCCAUCGUUGAGCUCCCCGUCAUUGAUUGUAGAUUUUCAUUCUUUUUAUAUGUUUUUACUUCGAUUUUGUAUUAUAUAAUGGGGUGGUUAGAAGU
RNA transcript from Cucumis melo (muskmelon), 2292 nucleotides. RefSeq lists it as uncharacterized. NCBI's taxonomy places the organism in Eukaryota, Viridiplantae, Streptophyta, Magnoliopsida, Cucurbitales, Cucurbitaceae. The transcript is spliced from 4 exons. The record is from RefSeq and is a predicted model, not a curated record.